This 580-nucleotide ribosomal RNA is filed under the name uncultured bacterium. RNAcentral describes it as "bacterial SSU rRNA". It matches the Rfam family "Bacterial small subunit ribosomal RNA", at positions 338 to 916 of the family's 1533-position model. The record is from RNAcentral.
CCUACGGGAGGCAGCAGUGGGGAAUAUUGGACAAUGGGCGAAAGCCUGAUCCAGCAAUUCCGCGUGUGUGAAGAAGGCCUUCGGGUUGUAAAGCACUUUAGUGGGGGAAGAAACAGCUUGGCCACACCAAGCCUUGACGGUACCCCAAGAAUAAGCACCGGCUAACUCUGUGCCAGCAGCCGCGGUAAUACAGAGGGUGCAAGCGUUAAUCGGAUUUACUGGGCGUAAAGGGUGCGUAGGUGGCUAUUUAAGUCGGAUGUGAAAGCCCGGGGCUCAACCUCGGAAUUGCAUUCGAUACUGAGUGGCUAGAGUUCGGUAGAGGGCGGCGGAAUUUCCGGUGUAGCGGUGAAAUGCGUAGAUAUCGGAAGGAACAUCAAUGGCGAAGGCAGCCGCCUGGGCCUGGACUGACACUGAGGCACGAAAGCGUGGGUAGCAAACAGGAUUAGAUACCCUGGUAGUCCACGCCGUAAACGAUGAGAACUUGACGUUGGUUCGUUUUACGAAUCGGUGUCGCAGCUAACGCGAUAAGUUCUCCGCCUGGGGAGUACGGCCGCAAGGUUGAAACUUAAAGAAUUGACGG